Molecule: transfer RNA, 55 nt
Filed under: Blattisocius keegani
Lineage: Eukaryota; Metazoa; Arthropoda; Arachnida; Mesostigmata; Blattisociidae
Description: tRNA-Cys
Source: RNAcentral
GAUCUAAAAAAACCAUAAUUUGCAAAAUUAUGAAUUAAUAUUUGUUAUUAGAUUU